GUGCUCGCUUUGACAGCACAUAUACUAAAAUUGGAAUGAUACACAGAAGAUUAGCAUGGCCCCUGCACAAGGAUGACACAAAUUCGUGAAGCAUUCCAUAUUUUU
Small nuclear RNA from Mesoplodon densirostris (Blainville's beaked whale), 105 nucleotides. The record is from RefSeq and is a predicted model, not a curated record. NCBI's taxonomy places the organism in Eukaryota, Metazoa, Chordata, Mammalia, Artiodactyla, Ziphiidae.